Molecule: ribosomal RNA, 392 nt
Filed under: uncultured bacterium
Lineage: Bacteria
Description: partial 16S ribosomal RNA
Rfam family: Bacterial small subunit ribosomal RNA
Source: RNAcentral
AUACGGAGGAUCCGAGCGUUAUCCGGAUUUAUUGGGUUUAAAGGGUGCGCAGGCGGCCAUUUAAGUCAGCGGUUAAAUCGUGGGGCUCAACCCCAUUCUGCCGUUGAUACUGGGUGGCUUGAUUGCGGUCGAGGUUGGCGGAAUUCGUUGUGUAGCGGUGAAAUGCAUAGAUAUGACGAAGAACACCGAUUGCGUAGGCAGCUGACCAGACCGCAAAUGACGCUCAUGCACGAAAGUGCGGGGAUCGAACAGGAUUAGAUACCCUGGUAGUCCGCACAGUAAACGAUGAAUACUUGUUUUCGGCGAUAUAAUGUCGGAGGCAAAGCGAAAGCGAUAAGUAUUCCACCUUGGGAGUACGCCGGCAACGGUGAAACUUAAAGGAAUUGACGGGU